Molecule: unclassified non-coding RNA, 193 nt
Filed under: uncultured fungus
Lineage: Eukaryota; Fungi
Description: sequence contains ITS1, 5.8S rRNA gene
Source: RNAcentral
CCGAGUUAGGGUGCUUCUCAGCGCCCGACCUCCCAACCCUUUGUCUAUGAUACCUUACAGUUGCUUCGGCGUGCCGAGGAGUUCGCUUCUCGCCUGGGACUCGUUCCGGGAGCGCGCCCGCCGAUGGCCUCAACUUAACACUUGAACCCAAACCCUGUCGUCUGAAAACUUGUGAUUAUCAUAAUCAAAAACA